CCUACGGGUGGCAGCAGUAGGGAAUCUUUCACAAUGGGCGAAAGCCUGAUGGAGCAACGCCGCGUGCAGGAUGAAGGCCUUCGGAUUGUAAACUGCUGUUAUAAGCGAGAAAUAUGAUGGUAACUUAUGAAUAAGGAUCGGCUAACUACGUUCCAGCAGCCGCGGUCAUACGUAGGAUCCGAGCCUUAUCCGGAGUGACUGUGUGUAAAGAGUUGCGUAGGUGUCGUACAAAGUAGCUAGUGAAAUCGGGUGGCUCAAACAUUCAGACUAUUAGAUAAACUGUUUAGCUCGAGACCGAUAGGGGUAACAGGAAUUUCUAGUGUAGGAGUGAAAUCCGUAGAUAUUAGAAGGAACACCAACAGCGUAGGCAGGUUACUGGGA
Molecule: ribosomal RNA, 381 nt
Filed under: uncultured bacterium
Lineage: Bacteria
Description: partial 16S ribosomal RNA
Rfam family: Bacterial small subunit ribosomal RNA
Source: RNAcentral